CCUCCUCCCUCCUCCUCCCACCUCCUCCUCCCACCACCCCAAACUCAGCUUCUUCUUCCCCAAAACUCACCAUCCCGCUUCAGCUAUUGGGGUGCUGGGGGUGAGCGUGGGAGCAGGAAGAUGAGUACGGCUCUUCGGAGGAAACCCUGCAGGGAACUGAGAUGGAGAACCAGUAUUUAAAGAAUGUGCUAGUUCACCUGGAGAGAAAAUCUUGCCUGAACUCUAAUCCACUUCAUGCUCCAAGAGAAUACUAAAGAAACUAUCCCACAAGAUGACCCCAUCGGAAUAAGACCACUUUUCUCACUGGAUCUGCAGCCUUUCCGUUGAGUACAUCCUCAUCAGUCCUCUUGCAUCUCCGGCAGCUGUCAGUUGGAGACCUGGGCCUCUCGUGAAGACCGGGGGAACCACCCAAGAAGUCCGGAUUGUUACAGAAGACUUGCUCAAAUGAAAUACAGGUCGUGCUCCAUCUUUGCUUUUGGACAGAUUAAUCUCCUCAUGAGCCGGGCAGAUCACUCUUCAGUCCCCCUCUUCUCAGGGGCUCUUUUUCCAAACAUCGGAUUGGGGCCGAGCCUGAGACAUGGCCCAAGCGGAGGAAGAUGAUAAAGUAUUUUUCUCUCGAAAAAUCUUCCAAAGAUACCGUUAUCGCAAGCGGACACGGCCACUUGCCUUCAGACGAGCUUUUUUGGGUUUGUUUUUUUUAACCCCUGUUCGGAAAUCCUGCUUCUCCACAUAUAAAACCUUUCUGUGGUUUGGUUUUAAAAUUGAGUUAAAACUGAAUAAUGCCCAGACUUCUGUUUUUCUUGUUUCCCUUCAGGCUUCGCUUUCCUGCCUCCUCCAAGCACUCGGUUCCUAGCUCAUGAUUGAAUUAUUUCCUAUAUCAACAACUGAAGUCUUCUUUUCUCUACCUUCAACGCUUUCACCUCUCUUUCAGAACACCCGUAACGAUGCUCUCGAUGCUGUGCUAUAACACCGUACCUAAACAUGCGGUUGCCUUGGUAAUGGCUCUGGUCUCCGAUGCCCACCUAAAUAGGUUCUGGACUUAAAAAAAACCUCGGCACGCGCUUCAAAAUGUGUUGCGCUCUUGUCCGCCUUCUUAUUGCUCUCUGCGUCCCAGGAAUUAUGACUGGCAGGGAGAAGAGAGUGUAAGUAGU
This is a long non-coding RNA of Tachyglossus aculeatus (Australian echidna), 1151 nucleotides long. RefSeq lists it as uncharacterized. The record is from RefSeq and is a predicted model, not a curated record. The transcript has 3 exons. NCBI's taxonomy places the organism in Eukaryota, Metazoa, Chordata, Mammalia, Monotremata, Tachyglossidae.